This 88-nucleotide transfer RNA is filed under the name Kiritimatiellales bacterium. RNAcentral describes it as "tRNA-Ser". It matches the Rfam family "tRNA". Rfam says of the family: Transfer RNA (tRNA) molecules are approximately 80 nucleotides in length. Lineage: Bacteria; Pseudomonadati; Kiritimatiellota; Kiritimatiellia; Kiritimatiellales. RNAcentral also lists the same sequence under 1 other name. The record is from RNAcentral.
GGAGAGAUGGCAGAGCGGUUUAAUGCGUCGGUCUUGAAAACCGAAGAGGUGCAAGCCUCCGGGGGUUCGAAUCCCUCUCUCUCCGCCA